This 253-nucleotide ribosomal RNA is filed under the name uncultured bacterium. Its description in RNAcentral is "partial 16S ribosomal RNA". It matches the Rfam family "Bacterial small subunit ribosomal RNA", at positions 524 to 776 of the family's 1533-position model. The record is from RNAcentral.
UACGUAGGGACCAAGCGUUGUUCGGAUUUACUGGGCGUAAAGGGCGCGUAGGCGGCGCGGUAAGUCACUUGUGAAAUCUCUGAGCUUAACUCAGAACGGUCAAGUGAUACUGCUGUGCUAGAGUGCGGAAGGGGCAAUCGGAAUUCUCGGUGUAGCGGUGAAAUGCGUAGAUAUCGAGAGGAACACCUGAGGUGAAGACGGGUUGCUGGGCCGACACUGACGCUGAUGCGCGAAAGCCAGGGGAGCAAGCGGG